Molecule: ribosomal RNA, 451 nt
Filed under: uncultured Spirochaeta sp.
Lineage: Bacteria; Pseudomonadati; Spirochaetota; Spirochaetia; Spirochaetales; Spirochaetaceae
Description: bacterial SSU rRNA
Rfam family: Bacterial small subunit ribosomal RNA
Source: RNAcentral
GCUAAGAAUCUUCCGCAAUGGGGGAAACCCUGACGGAGCGACGCCGCGUGGACGAUGAAGGCCGUAAGGUUGUAAAGUCCUUUUGCAGGAGAAGAAUAAGGUGGGGAGUGGAAAGCCUCAUCGAUGACGUUAUCCUGCGAAUAAGCCCCGGCCAAUUACGUGCCAGCAGCCGCGGUAAUACGUAUGGGGCGAGCGUUGUUCGGAGUUAUUGGGCGUAAAGGGCGUGUAGGCGGCCCGACAAGUCUGGUGUGAAAUCGCAGGGCUCAACCCUGCGGGUGCGCUGGAAACGGUCGGGCUGGAGUCCCGGGGGGGAAGCUGGAAUUCCUGGUGUAGGAGUGAAAUCUGUAGAGAUCAGGAAGAACACCGGUGGCGAAGGCGAGCUUCUAUUCGAGGACUGACGCUGAGGCGCGAAAGCGUGGGGAGCAAACAGGAUUAGAAACCCUUGUAGUCC